This 475-nucleotide ribosomal RNA is filed under the name uncultured Acidobacteriota bacterium. RNAcentral describes it as "bacterial SSU rRNA". It matches the Rfam family "Bacterial small subunit ribosomal RNA", at positions 224 to 704 of the family's 1533-position model. Lineage: Bacteria; Pseudomonadati; Acidobacteriota. The record is from RNAcentral.
GAGGAGUUCGCGCCUGAUUAGCUAGUUGGUGAGGUAACGGCCCACCAAGGCGACGAUCAGUAGCCGGCCUGAGAGGGCGUACGGCCACACUGGAACUGGGACACGGUCCAGACUCCUACGGGAGGCAGCAGUGGGGAAUUUUGCGCAAUGGGCGAAAGCCUGACGCAGCAACGCCGCGUGGAGGAUGAAGGCCUUCGGGUCGUAAACUCCUGUCAGGGGGGACGAAACCGGGCAACCGGCUGACUGUACCCCCGGAGGAAGCCACGGCUAACUCCGUGCCAGCAGCCGCGGUAAUACGGAGGUGGCAAGCGUUGUUCGGAAUUACUGGGCGUAAAGGGCGCGUAGGCGGCUCGGCAAGUCAGGUGUGAAAGCCCCGGGCUUAACUCGGGAAUUGCAUCUGAAACUGCCUUGCUUGAGUCCUGGAGGGGGUAGUGGAAUUCCCAGUGUAGCGGUGAAAUGCGUAGAUAUUGGGAGG